CCUAGAAAAUCCACGUUGAAGCUUUCAGGCCGGACGCGUGCCGCCGCCGCCGCCGGCGACUGCGGCAGCGCAGAGGACUUUCAACAUGGCUCUGAGGCGGAAAAAAAGCAAAUAUAAAGAAGCGAAAAGCGCGCGCUAUCAUCGUCCAAUCGGAGAUACAGGAGAGAGAGAAGCGGCGUUUAUCAAAGGAGGGCGGUACUUUUCUUAUAUAGGGACUUUAUGUGCGAUAACGUCUGCAUGGUCUUUGCUGGGUUCGUCUGCCAGACGUCUGUCUGCUUGGCUGCUGCUUGGUCAUGCCGACCAUAGUCAAGUACUGCGGGAAUUACUGCUGUGUUGCGAGGUGCAGUAACAACGGCAGGACAGGGAGAGAGCGUGGUUGGCUGACAACUGCAGCAAGAAAAGCAGACCUACUUCUAAGAUGAAGGCUACCUCUGGCAUCUUGCUCCUUGUAAUACUUACAGCAUUGGCUGCCAUGGUCACUGCAACUGAAGAGAGAAACGACGUGGCAGGUCGUGGAGGCGGUUAUGGAACGGGAUGCCCAGACGCCGCUGCCUGCACAGCAAGCUGCAAAAGCCGUGGUUUCCUGCUAGGCGUGUGCCUUGCACCUCUACUGCAAGUCUGUUUGUGCUCAUAAUGUAUGAUCGAGCCCGUCAUCAGCCAGCAAUAAAGGUCGCUUGCA
Dermacentor silvarum is the source of this 679-nucleotide long non-coding RNA. RefSeq lists it as uncharacterized. The transcript is spliced from 5 exons. Lineage: Eukaryota; Metazoa; Arthropoda; Arachnida; Ixodida; Ixodidae. The record is from RefSeq and is a predicted model, not a curated record.